Molecule: small nuclear RNA, 105 nt
Filed under: Mustela putorius furo (domestic ferret)
Lineage: Eukaryota; Metazoa; Chordata; Mammalia; Carnivora; Mustelidae
Source: RNAcentral
UGGCUCGCUUUGACAGCACAUAGACUAAGACUGAAAUAAUAUGGAGAAGAUUAGCAUGGCCCCUACAAGGUUGACAAGCAAAUUCAUGAAGUGCUUCAUACAUUU